This 488-nucleotide ribosomal RNA is filed under the name uncultured bacterium. RNAcentral's name for it is "SSU rRNA". It matches the Rfam family "Bacterial small subunit ribosomal RNA", at positions 26 to 523 of the family's 1533-position model. The record is from RNAcentral.
AGGAUUAACGCUGGCGGCGUGCAUGAAACAUGCAAGUCGAGCGCGGUGUGAUGAGGGGUAACCCAAUUCACAUCUAGCGGCGAACGGGUGAGUAACACGUGAGCAACCUACCUUUGAGUUGGGGAUAGCCCUGGGAAACCAGGAUUAAUACCCGAUGUGGUCACAACAGGACAUCCUGAUGUGAGUAAAGGCGUAAGCCGCUCAAUGACGGGCUCGCGGCCUAUUAGCUUGUUGGUGGGGUAACGGCCUACCAAGGCGAUGAUGGGUAGCUGGUCUGAGAGGACGAUCAGCCACACUGGGACUGAGACACGGCCCAGACUCCUACGGGAGGCAGCAGUUAGGAAUUUUCCGCAAUGGGCGAAAGCCUGACGGAGCAACGCCGCGUGAGUGAUGAAGACCUUCGGGUUGUAAAGCUCUGUCGGAGGGGAAGAACACAAUGACGGUACCUCCAAGAAGCCCGGCUAACUACGCGCCAGCAGCCGCGGUAA